AGAUGGCAUCGGGUCUUUUAUUCUGUGUGAUCCUCUGUUUGACCAGUGGACUGUGGACUGGAGCAAAUGCUCAAGGUCCAGAAGAAGGUGGAUGCCCUUCUCCAUGGAGACAGUUUCGUGACAGGUGCUACGUGGUCAGGUUAAGUGAAUUGGCAUGGGAUGAUGCACAGGCGGCCUGCGCUGCUGCGGGUGGGGAAUUGGCCAAAAUAGACACCGAAGCCGAAAGGGAC
This is a long non-coding RNA of Chelmon rostratus (copperband butterflyfish), 230 nucleotides long. RefSeq lists it as uncharacterized. The record is from RefSeq and is a predicted model, not a curated record. The transcript has 4 exons. NCBI's taxonomy places the organism in Eukaryota, Metazoa, Chordata, Actinopteri, Chaetodontiformes, Chaetodontidae.